This 459-nucleotide ribosomal RNA is filed under the name uncultured bacterium. RNAcentral describes it as "partial 16S ribosomal RNA". It matches the Rfam family "Bacterial small subunit ribosomal RNA", at positions 338 to 795 of the family's 1533-position model. The record is from RNAcentral.
CCUACGGGUGGCAGCAGUGAGGAAUAUUGGUCAAUGGGCGCGAGCCUGAACCAGCCAAGUCGCGUGAGGGAAGACGGUCCUAUGGAUUGUAAACCUCUUUUGUCGGGGAGCAAAAGACGCCACGCGUGGCGUUCCGAGAGUACCCGAAGAAAAAGCAUCGGCUAACUCCGUGCCAGCAGCCGCGGUAAUACGGAGGAUGCGAGCGUUAUCCGGAUUUAUUGGGUUUAAGGGGUGCGCAGGCGGAACAUCAAGUCAGCGGUAAAAUUGAGAGGCUCAACCUCUUCGAGCCGUUGAAACUGGUGUUCUUGAGUGAGCGAGAGGUAUGCGGAAUGCGUGGUGUAGCGGUGAAAUGCAUAGAUAUCACGCAGAACUCCGAUUGCGAAGGCAGCAUACCGGCGCGCAACUGACGCUGAUGCACGAAAGUGUGGGUAUCGAACAGGAUUAGAUACCCGUGUAGUC